AUGCCUUCAAUUUAUGAGUAAGGAAAAUAACAAUUCGGGGUGACGUCCAAAUCCUUACUGCUAACAUGGGAUGGAUUUUUGAGUGGGUAAAGAUUGCACCUAAUGAUGCACCUACUUUACAAGAUGCCUGGGAGUCACGAUCUGCUCC
Mustela lutreola (European mink) is the source of this 148-nucleotide small nuclear RNA. RefSeq annotates it as U12 minor spliceosomal RNA. Lineage: Eukaryota; Metazoa; Chordata; Mammalia; Carnivora; Mustelidae. The transcript has a single exon. The record is from RefSeq and is a predicted model, not a curated record.